UCGAGGGGUAUAUGUCUUCGGAUAUAGAGACCGGCGCACGGGUGCGUAACGCGUAUGCAAUCUGCCUUUCACAGAGGGAUAGCCCAGAGAAAUUUGGAUUAAUACCUCAUAGCAUAAUCAAACCGCAUGGUUUAAUUAUUAAAGUCACAACGGUGAAAGAUGAGCAUGCGUCCCAUUAGCUAGUUGGUAAGGUAACGGCUUACCAAGGCUACGAUGGGUAGGGGUCCUGAGAGGGAGAUCCCCCACACUGGUACUGAGACACGGACCAGACUCCUACGGGAGGCAGCAGUGAGGAAUAUUGGUCAAUGGGCGCAAGCCUGAACCAGCCAUGCCGCGUGCAGGAUGACGGUCCUAUGGAUUGUAAACUGCUUUUGUACGGGAAGAAACACUGAUUCGUGAAUCAGCUUGACGGUACCGUAAGAAUAAGGAUCGGCUAACUCCGUGCCAGCAGCCGCGGUAAUACGGAGGAUCCAAGCGUUAUCCGGAAUCAUUGGGUUUAAAGGGUCCGUAGGCGGUCCUGUAAGUCAGUGGUGAAAGCCCAUCGCUCAACGAUGGAACGGCCAUUGAUACUGCAGGACUUGAAUUAUCAGGAAGCAACUAGAAUAUGUAGUGUAGCGGUGAAAUGCUUAGAGAUUACAUGGAAUACCAAUUGCGAAGGCAGGUUGCUACUGAUGGAUUGACGCUGAUGGACGAAAGCGUGGGUAGCGAACAGGAUUAGAUACCCUGGUAGUCCACGCCGUAAACGAUGGAUACUAGCUGUUGGGGGCAACUUCAGUGGCUAACCGAAAGUGAUAAGUA
Molecule: ribosomal RNA, 798 nt
Filed under: Flavobacterium procerum
Lineage: Bacteria; Pseudomonadati; Bacteroidota; Flavobacteriia; Flavobacteriales; Flavobacteriaceae
Description: bacterial SSU rRNA
Rfam family: Bacterial small subunit ribosomal RNA
Source: RNAcentral